AUACGUAGGUGCCAAGCGUUAUCCGGAUUUACUGGGCGUAAAGGGCGUGUAGGCGGUCUUGCAAGUCAGAAGUGAAAUUCCUGUGCUCAACUCGGGCGCUGCUUCUGAAACUGCAGGACUUGAGUGCUGGAGGGGAUAGCGGAAUUCCUAGUGGAGCGGUAAAAUGCGCAGAUAUUAGGAACAACACCGUUGACGAAGGCGGCGAGCUUGACAGUAACUGACGCAGAGGCGCGAAAGCGUGGGAAGCAAACAGGAUUAGAUGCCCUGGUAGACCACGCCGGAAACGAUGAGUGCUAGGUGUUGAGGGUCAAACCUCGGUGCCGCAGCUAACGCAUUAAGCACUCCGCCUGGGGAGUACGUACGCAAGUAUGAAACUCAAAUGUAUUGGCGGGG
RNAcentral lists this ribosomal RNA (393 nucleotides) under uncultured bacterium. Its description in RNAcentral is "partial 16S ribosomal RNA". It matches the Rfam family "Bacterial small subunit ribosomal RNA", at positions 523 to 918 of the family's 1533-position model. The record is from RNAcentral.